RNAcentral lists this ribosomal RNA (460 nucleotides) under uncultured bacterium. RNAcentral's name for it is "partial 16S ribosomal RNA". It matches the Rfam family "Bacterial small subunit ribosomal RNA", at positions 338 to 795 of the family's 1533-position model. The record is from RNAcentral.
CCUACGGGAGGCAGCAGUGAGGAAUAUUGGUCAAUGGACGAGAGUCUGAACCAGCCAAGUAGCGUGAAGGAUGACUGCCCUACGGGUUGUAAACUUCUUUUAUAUGGGAAUAAAAUGUUCCACGUGUGGGAUUUUGUAUGUACCAUAUGAAUAAGGAUCGGCUAACUCCGUGCCAGCAGCCGCGGUAAUACGGAGGAUCCGAGCGUUAUCCGGAUUUAUUGGGUUUAAAGGGAGCGUAGGUGGAUUGUUAAGUCAGUUGUGAAAGUUUGCGGCUCAACCGUAAAAUUGCAGUUGAUACUGGCAGUCUUGAGUACAGUAGAGGUGGGCGGAAUUCGUGGUGUAGCGGUGAAAUGCUUAGAUAUCACGAAGAACUCCGAUUGCGAAGGCAGUUCACUGGACUGCAACUGACACUGAGGCUCGAAAGUGUGGGUAUCAAACAGGAUUAGAUACCCGUGUAGUC